Molecule: small nucleolar RNA, 129 nt
Organism: Sarcophilus harrisii (Tasmanian devil)
Lineage: Eukaryota; Metazoa; Chordata; Mammalia; Dasyuromorphia; Dasyuridae
Source: Ensembl
CCCGCCACUGCACCUGGUUCCAUUAUGUUGGCUGGUGCAAUCCAGUGGUGAGCUGAAAGAAAAACCCAGCUUAGGAAACAGAGUUAUUCUGCUUGUGGGUCACUCUGUGCCGAAAGCUUGGGAACAUGG